Molecule: long non-coding RNA, 574 nt
Organism: Drosophila mojavensis
Lineage: Eukaryota; Metazoa; Arthropoda; Insecta; Diptera; Drosophilidae
Exons: 3
Source: RefSeq, a predicted model, not a curated record
GUCAAGCUGAGGCGUUUAUUUGACAGGCGGCGGUGGAACUGAGCGGGCGAGCGGGCAAGGAUUAGAGAUAAUAUGAAAUGCUGAAUUACCGGUUAGCUGGUGCCUGGCCAUAAAUUAAAAACUUAAUAACGAGCGCAGCGCACGGAUUCGUACAUAACCAGGACAUGCCCAAUACACACACAUCACAAAUAUUCUCAUUGGCUCCGCUCUCUACACUAUUUGCCCGUCUCUUCGCUCUGUCUCCUGCGCUCAUCCUGCGGCAGCAAUAAAUCGCUAACAGCAAAUAAAUCAACGCGCAUAAAUUCCAAUGUUCGGCGACGAGGCCUGACCCGACUUUAUUUACGACAUUGCGACAAAGACACUUACGGCAAAAUGUUGGCCUCGCACUGGAUAAAAAUCGUGUUGAAAAUGUGGAAAAAGCAGCAGUAGCUGCAACAACAACAACAACAACACAUGCAACGCUCUCAAGUCAAAUGCCAGAGGAUUCCAAUUUGUUUUUGCAUGCAAUUCAUUGAUUGGGGAAGACUAUUGAAGUUUCUAAUGCAAAAUAUCUUUAAAUUAUAUAUUUACAUUU